UUUUUUUUUUGGUUUUUUUUUUUUUGGUUUUUGAAAUUGGCCAGGCAGUUCCAGACACAAGCAUGUUUGUAGCUGGCCCUGAUGACAGAAGUAGCUGUGGCUUCCAGCUGUGUGUUAACACAAUAGCCUUAACGGUUUGGCCGGAUUCUGGAUGGGUCCCUAGAGAACAGCUCUGCUUUUUAAAGAGGGGCGGGGCCGAGAGCCAUGGGAAUGGAGCGAGGCCGGUGGAGUUGAUGUUAAUGCAUGACACCUGCGCCACUCACCGAUCUCGAGUCCCACAGAGGAGCUCCGGGAGGAUAAAAGGAGGAGUGACGACAGUGAAAGACGAGAGAGGACCAGGCCUGGAUUUUGUGUUUUGGUUCUGUUUGUGCAAAACAGUCAUCCGUGAGGGGCUAUCACGCUAUUUUGUGUUUAUUUUAUUAUUAAAGUUUUUGUUUAAAUGUUCGCCGGUUCCCGCCUCCUUCUUCCUGACCUACGAACUUUGUUACAUUGGUGCCGAAACCCGGGAGGAAGGAGCGACGCACUGCCGGAGAUCCCUCACUGCUGUGGUUAAUGCACGGUGCCAUCGAGCAUGGCGGGGCAGCCUGCGCCAUGGACACUAAAGGCGGUGGGCUAGAGUGAUUUGCGGGGGAGGGGGGGUGGACAAACUCGCUGCUGGCCGCCUGGGAUAUGGAGGGACGGCUGCCGUCCUCGAUGGAGCAGAGUCGUCACCGCCGUUCGCCUGAGGCUGGAGCCUGAUGCCAUCCACCAUGAUGGGGAGGAGCAGGGAACGGGUGGCUCCUGCUGGCUGCCCGAACCUGGAGGAGCCGUUGCUGUUCACUGGGCGGCGGAGGAGUGUCGUACCAUCCACCGAGGGAUAUCCAGUGCCACCUCCAGUCAUCGUGGAAGAGUUUACCCAGCUGGUGGACUUUACCCAGCUAGUACACCGCGGCUGCCGUGAUCGGCUCCCCCGUUGGGGGGAGGGGGAUUGUAUGUCUCGUGAGUACCCCCCGACCUGCAAAGGGCAUUGGGGGUAUGUGAUGAGAGGAGCGGGGCCGAUAUCCAUGGGAACGGAGCGAGGUCGGUGGAGUUGAUGUUAAUACGCGACACCUGCGCCACUCACCGGUCUCGACCAGGCCUGGAUUUUAUUUUGUGUUUUGGUUCUGUUUGUGCUCGACAGUCGUCCGUGAGGGGCUGUCGCACUAUUUUGUGUUUAUUUUAUUAUUAAAGUUUUUGUUUAAAUGUUCACUGGUUCCCGCCUCCUUCUUCCCAAUGUAUGAGCUUUGUUACAU
Long non-coding RNA from Cyprinus carpio carpio, 1271 nucleotides. The record is from Ensembl. NCBI's taxonomy places the organism in Eukaryota, Metazoa, Chordata, Actinopteri, Cypriniformes, Cyprinidae.